CCCGCUGAACUUAAGCAUAUCAAUAAGCGGAGGAAAAGAAACUAACAAGGAUUCCCCUAGUAACUGCGAGUGAAGCGGGAAAAGCUCAAAUUUAAAAUCUGGCGGUCUUGCGGCCGUCCGAGUUGUAAUCUGGAGAAGCGUUUAUCCGCGUCGGACCGUGUACAAGUCUUCUGGAAGGGAGCGUCGUAGAGGGUGAGAAUCCCGUCUUUGACACGGACAACCGGUGCUUUUGUGAUGCGCUCUCGAAGAGUCGAGUUGUUUGGGAAUGCAGCUCAAAAUGGGUGGUAAAUUCCAUCUAAAGCUAAAUAUUGGCGAGAGACCGAUAGCGAACAAGUACCGUGAGGGAAAGAUGAAAAGCACUUUGGAAAGAGAGUUAAACAGUACGUGAAAUUGUUGAAAGGGAAACGUUUGAAGUCAGUCGCGUCGGCCGAGACUCAACCUUGCUUCUGCUCGGUGCACUUCUCGGUUGACGGGUCAGCAUCAAUUUUGACCGCCGGAUAAAGGUCGGGGGAAUGUGGCAUCCUUCGGGAUGUGUUAUAGACCUCGAUUCGGAUACGGCGAUUGGGACCGAGGGACUCAGCACGACCUUCGGGUUCGGGGCUUAGGCUCACGUUAACGUGCUUAGGAUGCUGGCAUAAUGGCCUUAAGCGACCCGUCUUGAAACACGG
RNAcentral lists this ribosomal RNA (668 nucleotides) under uncultured fungus. Its description in RNAcentral is "eukaryotic LSU rRNA". It matches the Rfam family "Eukaryotic large subunit ribosomal RNA", at positions 24 to 664 of the family's 3401-position model. The record is from RNAcentral. Lineage: Eukaryota; Fungi.